GCCCUCAUCGUCUAGCGGCCCAGGACGCGCCCUUUCAAGGCGGUAGCACGGGUUCGAAUCCCGUUGGGGGCA
Molecule: transfer RNA, 72 nt
Filed under: Micromonospora sp. ATA32
Lineage: Bacteria; Bacillati; Actinomycetota; Actinomycetes; Micromonosporales; Micromonosporaceae
Description: tRNA-Glu
Rfam family: tRNA
About the family: Transfer RNA (tRNA) molecules are approximately 80 nucleotides in length. Their secondary structure includes four short double-helical elements and three loops (D, anti-codon, and T loops).
Source: RNAcentral